This 94-nucleotide ribosomal RNA is filed under the name Scleropages formosus (Asian bonytongue). The record is from RNAcentral. Lineage: Eukaryota; Metazoa; Chordata; Actinopteri; Osteoglossiformes; Osteoglossidae.
CCCUGAAUACGCCCGAUCUCGGAAGCCAAGCAGGGUCAGCCCUGGUUAGUAUUUGGAUGGGAGACUGCCUGGGAAUAGCGUUGGAACGUCGGGU